This is a long non-coding RNA of Arvicola amphibius (Eurasian water vole), 264 nucleotides long. RefSeq lists it as uncharacterized. The record is from RefSeq and is a predicted model, not a curated record. The transcript has 3 exons. NCBI's taxonomy places the organism in Eukaryota, Metazoa, Chordata, Mammalia, Rodentia, Cricetidae.
GUCUUUUGAUCAUUAACAAAAUGCCUGGGCAGUGGGGACACUCACAGUUCCGGGUUUUAUCAGCAGCAUGACUCAGCCUCAGUUGUGCCUCAGUUUCUUCAGUAAAACUAAGGACUCACUGAGAGCCGCUCAGAGACAAAGGAGUUGAGUCUGUUUCCAUCCCGGGUCCGUCCUCUGUGCCUAUACUGAGUAUCUUGAAGGAGCCACAAUGAAAGGAAAUGACCUGCAAAGCAUCCAGUCACAGGAACAAGGCCAUCCAGGAUA